This 5608-nucleotide long non-coding RNA is filed under the name Medicago truncatula (barrel medic). RNAcentral's name for it is "long non-coding RNA (MTRU_LNC000325)". The record is from RNAcentral. Lineage: Eukaryota; Viridiplantae; Streptophyta; Magnoliopsida; Fabales; Fabaceae.
AAUUCGAUAUGUCUGAAUUGAAGAGCACGCAUGUGUCGUAUCUCUAAAAUAAAGAGAGAAGACAAUCUAAAUAAUAUUUGUUGCUGCUUUAUUUAAUUUCAUUACCACUAUCUUAGAAUACAAGAAAAUACUAUAAUGUUCUUGAAAUUAAAAAAAGAAAUAAAUUCAAAUCAUUAGAUGGCAACAAAAUAGGUAAAUGAUAACUCAUCGACGAAACUGCUCAUCAAAGUUUUCUCUGUAAAAAACAAAUACACAUACACAACUGUUUCCAACACACUCCGCAUUCGAACCAUUGAGACAUGAAACUUCUAGACAAUCAGCAUCAUCUAAACAGUUGACUUUCUCUGUAAUAAAAACAAGAAUAAAAUACACAGGUUUUAGCAAAUUAAUAAAUAUGAAAAAGGUUAAAAACGGAUUACCUCUGGCAUUUAUUGAAAGUUGAAAGAGGGAAAGAAUGAUAAUCAUAACAUAAAUAAACUUCACAACUUUAAUCAUAUUUUUCUCCUUUUCUUGCAAGAAAUGUUUUUAUCAGUUUAAAAUUUAUAAAGCUCGUCCUCCCUUUACAUUAAUGUAAUAGUUUAGUACUUACGAAGUAGGAAAAAAUUGUUUCCUAAACUUAUUAUUAAUAAAUGUCUUUUAAGUACAUCAAUGACUUGUGUUUGUCCUUUUAUCACACCAAGAAAUCAGGCCUCACACAAAAUUUACGAUUCAUAAAAGUCUAUUUUUUGUAUCUUUAAUUAAAUUUUCACUUUUUUAUAACCUAUUAUAAUAGCAAAGGGAAAAUAACAAAAAGAUUACUAAUAGGAAUAACUACAUUUCAAGUGACACUAGUAGAAAGGUGCACGCAAAGGGUUUUUGAAUCAGGUUGAUGAACGAAUAAGAAGAGAACCUUGAUAAAAUAAAAUGAAUAUAACUUUUUUUUUUUUGAAAGAAUAUAACUGUUAUUUACUCCUUGCCUACCGUGAUAUAAUAAAUUUUGAAUUUAGAAAGGUUAUGGCUUGAGCUUAACCAUAGGCGUCUGCAUAAGUUGUUAAAACAUUCACUACAAGAAUAAUAGCAAUUUCCAUGAGUAAUACCCAUGGCAAAUCCAUGGGUUAUUGAAAAUAAAAAACAUAUAAAACUUACCCAUGGCAAAACCAUGAGUAAUAUGUAAACUAAUUUUUUUCCAUGGUAAAACCAUGGGAAAUGUGAAAAUAAAAAUAAAAUUAUCUCUUUAUUGUAGUAAUUUAAAAAUAAAAAAAAUAUAAAACUUACCGACGUUGUCGCUUGGUUUAAAAAUCAAAAAAUUAUAAAACUUACCGACGUUGUCGCUUAGUUUAUUUAACUAGAAUCCUUAGUUUAUUUGUUUAAUUUAAUGGAUCAUUUUAGUUUUACUAUAAUUGUUUGUUUUUAAUUAAAGUUAGCUGAGAUAAACUCAAAGUUAGUUAAGAUACAAAAUUAAUUACAUAGUUUAGUAUGGAUGUUAGCUAUUUUUAAGCAAAGUUUGUUAGUUUGUUUGAUUACUUGAUAAACAAGUAUUGUGAAUAAGUUUGUAUAUAAGUAUGAUAUAAACACACUUUCAUUACCAAUGAAACUUACAAAGUUCACGAUCAAAAUUAUGUUCUUUUCUUCUCUUCUCUCUCAAUAUUGAAGGUGAGAAAAAUACAGGGGGUUGAAUUGUGUUGGUUUUUUCUGAAUGUUUAAUACUGGUCAGAGUCUGACUGCAGCGGAUAAAAUAGAAAAACAAAGAGAAAAGAGAGAUAGAGAGAAAGAGCAGACACAAAAAAUUUUAUACUAGUUCCUCCCACAACACAGGAGUAGUCCAGUCCCUUGCUCUUCCAAGGGAUUUCAUUAUAAUCUCACAUAUUACAAUGGCUUAAGGACUCUUCCAAGAAACUUCUCAAUGCUCAAGCAUUCUUGCAAGAGACUUCUUUGCUCAAGGUCACUACCAAGAGACUUUCAUUGCUCAAAGAAAACUCCAGGAGACUUCUAUUGCUCAAGCACACAAGCAAGAAACUUCCAAUUCUCAAAGGGCACUGAUGGUUCGAUUAGGCAAGUGUACCAAAUCGUUUACCAAAUAAUAAAGUGAUAAGUAGAGUAUCGUAUCCACAUGGAUUGUUGUUUCGUCUAAACAGUUCGCAUUACCUAUUUGGGAAAAAUAAAAUAAAUAAAGAUAUAAGGGUUUAAAGUCUUGCAAUUUAAUCUGCUUGCAUCGACGCAAGGUUACUUGCUUGAUUGAAGAAUGUUACCUAACCAAAGGAAAUAAUCCCUCAAGUAUAAACAACAACUCAAGAAGCUCAGACAUCAAGGAUCUUAAGAAUGGGUCAAGCACAAGGAAAGCUCUGUGACAACCUGGGAAGAACUAGAUGACGUAGAAGCCGACAAAGAUGAAGAAGUAGAAAAUCUAGGAUUGGUGGCCUCAUUAGCCUCUAAUAGUAUAAUUAUAUAAGCUUAUGCCGUUGAAAAAACCAGCUAUUUUUCAACAUUGCAUCGUAAGUUAUUUGGUUCUAAUAUAAUCUGAGGGAUACGUGGAGUUAUGAUUGGUUCUAUAAAAUUUAUAAUUGAUACAAUUUAUGUGGUUCUAUACAAUUUAUAUGUGGUAUAAACCGUUAUGAUAUUUCAUGAGUCUAUGUGGUUCUACACAUUUUAUAUUUUAUAAAACCAACUUAAUACUUAAUGUUUUAUGAGGAUUGGUUACAUCCUCUUUAUUGGUGACGAUUUAAAUAUGAGCAUGGGUGAAGUAGACAUACUAUGUGGUAUGACUUUGACUUAAUAUAGGGAGGCUGAGGACUGGGAGUCUCGUAGCAAUUUCCUUUUCCUUUCCCUAAGAUGGUGUUUUUGGUUUGGAAAUCGAGGUCUGAUUUGUUAGCUUGGAGGAAACAUAUUUUGGCAACCUCAAUGUCUCCGCGCAAUAUGGCGAUGGUGUCAUCUUUUUCAUGCUACUUCAUUUUGAGAUGGGCAGUUGAACAUGCAGCUCUCAGAUUUGACAAUGUUGGUCUCCCUAUCAUGCAAUUGUAGAGAGACAAGCAAUCAAUCACAAGGAACUGAACUUUCACCGUCUUUCUUUCUCUUCCUUGGCCGAAAGUGAUCAGUUUACUCAACAUAACCCCAGGGAUUUGUUGAGGAGCCGUUGAAUCCGUAGUGUUCAGAUCCAUAAGGAGAUAUGUUAUUCUCUAUCAAUAGGAGAGUCUUGAACAUGGUAUAGUACAUGAUGUCGCAAGAUGUCCUAGUGUUGACCAGGAUCCUACGGACAUCAAAGUUAGGAGCUCUGCUAGGGAUCUCGCUCUUAUAGAAGGCAAGGGGUGGUCGUACAUCAACUCGAGUGGGGCGACAACCAAGUGGAUCACAUUCAUCAACUCUUUGAACUUCCUCUUCAUGUUUCCUACUAUAAUGUUGAUUCUCCAUAUAAUCACAUUGAUUGUAAGGAUGUGUUCCCAAGUGCAUGAGUAAGCGUUACCUCAACAUUUUUAGGGAAGUGGAGUCCACCAAUCGAUCCAUCACAAUUAUUAUCUCUGCAUCCUUGUCAGCAAUGCUAUCGACUGGUUCAACGGCUUUCUUUUCAGGCGAGGCAUUUUUUGGUGAUUUUUCUCAACCUACCUUGUUGUGUGAAAAUUUUCAUUGCAUUCUUAAGGUGGAUGCAAUCGUCUGUAGUAUUCCCAUAACACUUGUGGAAAUGGCAGUGUUUACUUUUAUCAUCUCAAAGAUUUUGUGUAAAAGGCUUGGGAUACUUGAUUCUUACUUCCUUCAAGUCGGCGGAAGUGAUCUUAACCGAUAUCUCUUCACUCGACACCUCAAGAGGUGUGUACUUAUCAAAAUAACCAAUGGGUCGUUUUCCUUCUCUAGAGGGUUUGACUUCCUUUUUUUUCUCAUAGAAGGGAUUUUCGGAGGACUUAUGUUGAGGAUCCUCCUUCCUCUCUUUGUUCAAAUUAUCAGUGUACAACUGCCCUUUGUACCUGAUAUAGAACUUUAAAAUCCUUAGGAACUCAUUGAUAGUUCUGGGUUGGUCGAGUUGGACCGCCUUCAUGAUAUUCGUUUUUGGUCGAAGACCCUUCUCGAUCAAGUGUUUUUUCAUCCUUUUGUCCGUUCCUCGGACUUGCACAACUUCUUUGUUGAAACACUCAAUGUAGUCUAGGAAAGGCUCGUUCUUUCCCUGCACAAUAGCCUCAAGGGAAACAAUCGUUUUCAACUGUGUCUUUAAUGUUGAAAAUUUCGCAAUGAACUCAUGGCACAACUCGUCCCAAGAGUCGAUAGAGAUUCUGUUGAGAUUCUUAUACCAGGUCAAGGCUCCUCGUCGCAAAGUAGUCAUAAACAGUUUACACUUGACGGAUCCUCAGACAUUCUUGUAGUUAAGGACCACUUCUAUGUUCUCAAUGUGCUCGCCCAUAUCCGUUGUGCCGUCGUAGGUAUCCAUCUAGGGAGGUUUCUCUAAACAAGUAGGGAUCUAGGUAUCCCUGAUCCUGCGAGUGAAAGGAACGUAUGCCACACAAUCAUCGUUAGAAUAAGACGAGGACCGCGAGAAUCUAAUAUGCCUAUUUGAGCACGGGGAGCUUGAUCUACUGUGACUCAACGAGUGUCUAGGGGAUCUUGGACUCUAUGGGAGUGGGCUCCGUCCCCUUAUGUUACGUUGUGGGGAAGGAGGUUGAGCGUCAUGUAGAGGGGCUAGGGAGCUCUUUUGGGUAACGUUUGGAGAAUGGAGUCGAAGUUUGAUCCUCGAUCAUUUCCUUGAUGCGCCUAUUAUGAUCCUCAAUCAUUUCUGUUUGGCAGUGCAAUGUUUGGAGAAUGUAGUACCGUUAGUCAUCCUGAUGAGUGAUUGUUUUUUGGAUUUUUGUAGUUUUGGUCUUUUGUGAAAGAAAUACAUGGAUAACUAGUUUCCCACAGACGACACCGCUGAUCGUACUUGAGCAGAUGAAUGACGUCUGGUGCAGUUGUUCUGAUCGUACUUGAGAACAAAGUCUUUGAGGCUAUUAGAAAAUUAAAAUGAAAAAGAAAUAUAGUGUAACAAUUAUAACAUAGAUAUAAAAUUAUAGGCAUAUAAUAAAAGAAACUAUUUUUAAACUUAUCUAUUUAAAGUAUUAUAAGCCGUAGGGUAUGAAAGAACAUUUGAUAUGUCUGAAUUGAAGAACAUGCAUGUCGUAUCUCUAAAGUAAAAAGAGAAUAAGACAAUCUAAAUAAUAUUUGUUGCUUCUUUAUUUAAUUUCAUUACCACUAUCUUUGAGUACAAGAAAUAACUCUAAUGUUCUACCACUAAAUGCAUUAACGAAAAUGCUCAUCAAAUUUUCCAAACCGCGGUGGAACACAUAUACAAAUGUUUACAACACACUCCGCUUUCGAACCAAAGACACAUAAAACUUCUAGACAAUCAGCAUCAUCUAAACAGUUGACUUCCUCUGUAAUAAAAACGAGAAUAAAAUACACAGGUUUUAGCAAAUUAAUAAAUAUGAAAAGGGUCUCGUUAACAAGUUCCUCUGAACACUCUUUAAGCAUUCUAAAAUAAGUAACUAUUAUUUAAAAACUCAAAUAUUUUGAUUUACAAAUGCAUUAAUCACACAUAUUUUCAUAAAUACUUACUACUUAUGGUCCUGAAAGGAUGUCUCAGAGACACUUGUUAACAUUUCCCAAUAUGAAAAAG